GUUGAUAACGUCGAAAUUCUUCGAGACCAAAUAACAUCGACAGUUCCACGAACAAAAAUAAGGAAAGCAACUGUUUUGGAUAGUUUUUGUUGACCAUGUGUGAUCAUCUAUGAAAUAAACGUGCUGCAUCUGCUAUCAGGAGUCUGUAAGACCUGGGGACUGCCUGGUCAUUCCGCCAUUCAGGAUUUGGCUAAAUGACUUGUUGGCCAUGUGUCAAGCAAUGGCUCUCUUACAACAAACCAAUUUCAAGAUCAAUUGAAAUCUAAAUAUCAGGCUAGAGUCGCUUUAAUUGAGCAGGCGUUAUAGUAUGUACAACCAAAAGAAGGGGACAAACCACAGUCUGCACAUCAAGCGCUAAAGAUGAAAUGCACAAUUGACCCAGGUGUUCAAUGAACAGAGUGCAGUUGAACUGUUCACGUGCUCCUGAUUCAGUCCCAGCUGCAAAAUGGGACCCCAAUCGUUAUGUUGAGGAAGUGGAACAGCAACUUUUUCCAUGUACAUGUAUCCAGACAACAGGGUUGUUGACACGCAGACUGUUAAUUGGAUGUCCCUCAUAAACGAAUAUAUAACUAAAUCCAUGGCACAAUUCACAGCAAUGCCAGGGUGCUAAGAGAGACAAAAUAUCCAGCUGCUCUUCUCAACCAGCAUAACGUACAAGCCUGCAUAAUGAUGUCACAUGAAAAGGGAAAUACGAAUAUGCUUGCUCAAGGGUUGGAAGAGGGCAUGCCACUGCUUUCCCCUGUCAAACUAUUGUCUACUCUUCAAGUGGUUGUUAUCAACCGGCCCCUACUAUAUUCCAAACCUACCAACAACUUCUGAUAGUGUUCAGCCUAGGGAAAGGGGGUUAAAACUGGUAAAUCAGUGCCAGCACCAAUUUUGCCAGCUCUGAUCAACCUAGCUCCCUUUUUCACCCCAUUGGCUUGAACAUAAUUUCUUUGUCGGUACAGCCUGCUAUUCACUACCAAAUAAUGACAAAUUAAAACUAAGGAAGAGGCUGAGGGAAAAGUGUGAAGUUCUUGCAACAAAUAUUAAGUGGUCGGGAACUGAAAAAUUGUGGGAGAUCAUCUCCAUUCACUCAUAUUUGAAUCUUUGAGGCUCACUUUAUUGUCCCAGAGCUGCACGGGAAACCUUGAAAAAUUAUAAGGGAGACACUAUGCAGAAUGGUUUCCUGAUAGGCAAAAGUGAUGUAAAAACAGUAAAAAAUAUUUUGUUGGUGUUUUUUUGUUGAACAUGCAACAUUUGAUCUUCUGAUAAUGACAGUAAUUUUUUGUUCACAUUUUCUUCACUGAUAGUGGCACUCAUUUUUGUAUGUCUUCAACACUGAAAGUGACAGUGACUGGUGUAGCUUUGACACUGAAAGUGACAGUGACUGGUGUAGCUUUGACACUGAAAGUGACAGUGACUGGUGUAGCUUUGACACUGAAAGUGACAGUGACUGGUGUAGCUUUGACACUGAUAUAGUGACAGUGACUGGUGUAGCUUUGACACUGAAAGUGACAGUGACUGGUGUAGCUUUGACACUGAAAGUGACAGUGACUGGUGUAGCUUUGACACUGAUAUAGUGACAGUAAAUUGUUAAUGUUGUUAUACCCCCAUUACUGGUAAUGGGGGCUAUAUAAGAGUCACUUUGUUGGUCUGUCGGUCUGUCUGUCCCGAAAAUUUAAUUCGAUCUUCACCAAACUUGGUCAGAAGUUGUAUCUAGUUUAAAGUUACAGUCACUUUUAUGUGUUUACAAUUUACCAUUUUUUGAAGUAAAUAUUAUUUUGUGUCAACUUAAAAAAUGAUACAUGCGAUGGCUAAGAAUAACACAUGAAUUCAACUAAGGGGAAUAAUUAAUAAGAUUAAACUGACUUUUUGUUUUCCCAAUUAGUAUUUGAUUGUUCAUCUGAACUGACCUUUAAAAAAGUAGACUUUAACUGAACCGUCCAUUUUUUAUAUGUUUAAUUCUUUUAAAAUAAUGUACUGUCAACUGUUUAAAUGUUGCAUUCUUGUACAAAAAUGUAAUGCCAAUUUUAGCUUGGCUGUUUUCAGAGAAAUCCCGAGGUAUUGUCAUAGCCAGCUCGGUGUCCGGCGUCCGCUGUCCUCAUUGUGCUAAAACCUUAACAUUGGCUCUGAAAUCAAAGUGCUUCCAUCUACAACUUUGAAACUUCAUAUGUAGCUGCACCUUGAUGAGUUCUACACGCCACACCCAUUUUUGGAUCACUAGGUCAAAGGUCAAGGUCACUGUGAUGUCUUAUAUAACACUUUAACAUAGGCUCUAAAAUCAAAGUGCUUCAACCUACAACUUUAAAACUUCAUAUGUGGCUGCACCUUGAUGAGUCUUGUGAUGUUUGUCAUCCGUCAUGUGUCGUCAACACUCUAGAUGCCAAAUGUAUUGUCUAAUUUUCAUGAAAUUUGGUCAGAAUAUUUUUUCUAAUGAUAUCUUGGCUGAUUUCAAAAAUUGUUCUGGUCUGUUAAAAAACAUAGCCGGCAGAGAGCGGGGGAGUUUCCCUUAUAUAGCCAUAGUAACUAUUUUCUCCAUUGGGUCAUUCAGCGAAUGGUCCAAAACAACAUAGAUUAGUUUGGGCAAAGUGUCAGCUGUAAUUUUGCUGCAGCUAGUCCAUGUUGAAAUUGUGAACAAGGAUUAAAUCCAAGCCAAAUCAAAUCUAUUCUACUAAAUUUAUUUAAUGAUCACUCUUAACACACUUAUUCAAAAAAUACAUUAAGAAACACACUUUUCUUAUUAGUAAUAAAAAGUAUCUUUAAAAUUUAAACAUUUUAGUGUUGAAUAUCAAGGCAUAGGUUUUCAAUAGCAUGUAUUCAAAGCAUCCAUCUGUUUUCCCUGUUCUCCCUUUUUCUUCCCAAAACCCCCUUAAUAUGCUAUUUCAAUAAGCCAAUAUGUUAAUUUCUGACAUUAUGAAUCACUGUAUGCAAAUUUAUGGAAAAUUUCAGAAGUGACCAUGAUUUAUGGCAAUUUGAAGAAAUGAAGAGGAAUAGGAAUCACCGCUCAUAAAGAGACCUUUCUUAUUCUUGGUAUUUUCAGAAGUGUGUGAGAUCAGCAAUUACACUAGCUAAAUGACUUAUUUCAACUUACAUAACUUCUAGCAAUUUAUCGAUUUCAAAAUGUUUCCGUUCCUUUAAAAGGCCUCACUGCGGGGCAGGGCAGUUUUCCUUACAUGGCUUAAGUAACACAUUUUUCACACUCUAUAUGUCACAUUAACAGUCCAAUAUUCACGCAACUUGGUCAGAUCAUUUGUUCUCAUUAUAUCUUGGCUAUGAAUUAAAAAUGGUUCCAGUGCCUUGAAAAACAUAAACACCAAGCAGUUUUCAUAAUAUGGUUAUAGUGAAACCAUGUUAACGCUCUUAUCACCACAUUUAUGGGCCAAUCUUAAUGGAACCUGGUCAGAACAUUUGUACCUAUGAAAUGUUUGCUGAGUUUAAAGCUGGGUCAUGAGAACUAAAAAAAUGGUCAUUAGGUGAAAUGUAAAAAGGUUUAAGUAUAUACUCUAGAAUACACUUUCUUUUCCCAAUCUUCAUGAACCUCAAUCAGAACAUUUGUUCUAAAGAUAUCCAGCAGAGUUAACAUGUUUACAUUUGUUCACAUGUCUAAUUAUUUUACACUAAUCUACUGCCAAGUUAUGUAAACUUUAAAAUUGAAGAAGGUCCCAAUCCAUUGAGUGGUCACAAACUUAGAUUUGUUAUAUUUUAUUUUAAAAAUUGUUUUAACACUUUGAUUGACAUUGUCGUUAUCUAUGUUAUAAAUGAUCCAGUUUUUAUUGUUUAAUGAUCAUGUUCUAAUUGAUGUCCACAUUGUGCAUUGAACAUUCAGAGGUACAAUUUAUACAAGUCAAUUAAAAAUGACAAUCCAUGUACUAAUAAUAUAUCAUAUAUGUGACCACAGAAAAGCGGAGGGGUAAAUUUUGGUUAAAUUGAAAAUGUAGGUGCAAUAUCUAUUUAAUAAAAUAUUUGAAAAUUCA
Long non-coding RNA from Dreissena polymorpha, 3956 nucleotides. RefSeq lists it as uncharacterized. The transcript is spliced from 4 exons. The record is from RefSeq and is a predicted model, not a curated record. Lineage: Eukaryota; Metazoa; Mollusca; Bivalvia; Myida; Dreissenidae.